Molecule: ribosomal RNA, 274 nt
Filed under: uncultured Staphylococcus sp.
Lineage: Bacteria; Bacillati; Bacillota; Bacilli; Caryophanales; Staphylococcaceae
Description: partial 16S ribosomal RNA
Rfam family: Bacterial small subunit ribosomal RNA
Source: RNAcentral
UACGUUAGCGGCGGACGGGUGAGUAACACGUGGGUAACCUACCUAUAAGACUGGGAUAACUUCGGGAAACCGGAGCUAAUACCGGAUAAUAUUUCGAACCGCAUGGUUCGAUAGUGAAAGAUGGUUUUGCUAUCACUUAUAGAUGGACCCGCGCCGUAUUAGCUAGUUGGUAAGGUAACGGCUUACCAAGGCGACGAUACGUAGCCGACCUGAGAGGGUGAUCGGCCACACUGGAACUGAGACACGGUCCAGACUCCUACGGGAGGCAGCAGGC